Molecule: long non-coding RNA, 158 nt
Organism: Helianthus annuus (common sunflower)
Lineage: Eukaryota; Viridiplantae; Streptophyta; Magnoliopsida; Asterales; Asteraceae
Exons: 2
Source: RefSeq, a predicted model, not a curated record
GUCAACUCGGUCGGUGAGUCAACUCGGGUCAGACGAGUUAACUUGGUUCGGUUCAGGUUCGGGUCAACAUAAGUCAACAACGGUCAACAGUUCUGAUUGACUCGGUCAACUGAGGUCAAACUCAGUCAACUCGAGACGCGGUAAAGUUUUAGUGACGC